GAGUUGUAAUCUAGAGAGGUGUUUUCCGUGCCGGACCGUGUACAAGUCCCUUGGAACAGGGCGUCAUAGAGGGUGAGAAUCCCGUCCAUGACACGGACUACCGGUGCUCUGUGAUACACCUUCAAAGAGUCGAGUUGUUUGGGAAUGCAGCUCAAAAUGGGUGGUAAAUUCCAUCUAAAGCUAAAUACAGGCGAGAGACCGAUAGCGAACAAGUACCGUGAGGGAAAGAUGAAAAGAACUUUGGAAAGAGAGUUAAACAGUACGUGAAAUUGUUGAAAGGGAAACGCUUGAAGUCAGUCGCGUCUGCCAGGACUCAGCCUUGCUUCUGCAUGGUGCAUUUCCUGGUGGAUGGGCCAGCAUCGAUUUUGGUCGCCGGACAAGGGNGGGAGGAAUGUGGCAGCUUGCUGUGUUAUAGCCUCCCGUCGUACACGGUGGUUGGGAUCGAGGACUGCAGCACGCCUUUGGUCGGGGUUCGCCCACGCCACGUGCUUAGGAUGCUGGCGUAAUGGCUUUAAACGACCCGUCUUGAAACACGGACCAAGGAGUCUAACAUGCCUGCGAGUGUUUGGGCGUUAAACCCAGGCGCGUAAUGAAAGUGAAAAGUUGGGACUCUUUAGUGAGGCACCGACGCCCGAUCCUGACGUUCUCUGACGGAUUUGAGGUAGAGCAUGUAUGUUGGGACCCGAAAGAUGGUGAACUAUGCCUGAAUAGGGUGAAGCCAGAGGAAACUCUGGUGGAGGCUCGUAAGCGAUUCUGACGUGCAAAUCGAUCGUCAAAUUUGGGUAUA
Molecule: ribosomal RNA, 787 nt
Filed under: Heteroradulum kmetii
Lineage: Eukaryota; Fungi; Basidiomycota; Agaricomycetes; Auriculariales; Auriculariaceae
Description: eukaryotic LSU rRNA
Rfam family: Eukaryotic large subunit ribosomal RNA
Source: RNAcentral